AAAGAUUUCUCGGCCUGGUUCAAAUGCUGCUAAGCUUCAGAAAUUACAGCCCCCUCCAGGAGUGGGUAAGAGCUGACACAAAGCAGCAAUAACCCAAAACUUCCCAGCUGUUGUGUCUGGCCUUUUGAAAAGAGGAAUUCCUUGCUAAGGAGCCUGAAACCUUACUCUUCCCACUCAGCAUUGCCUGAGGGCGCUAGCAUUAAAAGGAUGUGUGAAAAAGGAUUUAUGGCUUGCAAAGAAACACCUUCUGCUCCAGUAUCCACGGGCCCUAUAAUAUUAGCAGAGAUGGCUGAGCAUGAAGGGCUGUCGACAAGUAGGAAUGCUGAUAUGAUUCUCUUCUUCCUCCUGGGGAAAAACGUGGCCGUGGGCAAGGGCCUGGCUUUGGUUUCUUUGAAGAAAGUGAAUGUCCUGCAUAUCAGUAAGAAAAUGUUGAGAAACACCUCCAGUUCAUGGAGAAUCACCAUGUUAUAGCAUCCUUUCCCAUAGUAUGGAGGGGGGAAAGUGUGCAAAAAAAAAAAAGCCAGAGGACAGGCUCUGAAUCAUGUUCUCUGCAUCUAAUGACCUCAUUGUAAGAUGUUCAAGGGCAUGCCUGAAGGAGGGAAGCUGGAAGAACAUCUAUUCUUCUGGAAGAAAUGGUGCAACAACCCACGCCUCGCCAGCACACCCAUGGACCCCCUGGGAUAAGGGUGGCUGGCAGUGUGUGUGCUUUGAGUCACAAAAGCUCACAUUGGUGGGUUUCAGUCUUGAGAAUACUGGGAGCUUUCUAUGGGGCACGUCUACCUAGAGCCAAGCUUCUAUGUAUUCUCUGUGACACUAAGGAUGUCGGUGGGAGGGAAACAAGAUGAGCCAUGCUUUUCAUACGUUUGGGCAAGAUGUGCAAAGUGAGAAACUUUAUUGUUGUUCUUGGCCAAUUCCCCCGUUCUGUUUCCAGC
RNAcentral lists this long non-coding RNA (932 nucleotides) under Gallus gallus (chicken). Its description in RNAcentral is "lncRNA (ENSGALG00010015592.1)". Lineage: Eukaryota; Metazoa; Chordata; Aves; Galliformes; Phasianidae. The record is from RNAcentral.